Molecule: small nucleolar RNA, 91 nt
Organism: Salvia splendens (bonfire salvia)
Lineage: Eukaryota; Viridiplantae; Streptophyta; Magnoliopsida; Lamiales; Lamiaceae
Product: small nucleolar RNA snR60/Z15/Z230/Z193/J17
Exons: 1
Source: RefSeq, a predicted model, not a curated record
AAUGGUCAAGUGAUGAUUUGAUGCAUAGUUCAAAUGACUAAUCUAUGAUUAUAUAACUCUUUUAGUCUUUCGCUCCUAUCUGAUGACCUUU